Molecule: ribosomal RNA, 497 nt
Filed under: uncultured bacterium
Lineage: Bacteria
Description: partial 16S ribosomal RNA
Rfam family: Bacterial small subunit ribosomal RNA
Source: RNAcentral
GAUGAACGCUGGCGGCGUGCCUAAUACAUGCAAGUCGAGCGAACGGACGAGAAGCUUGCUUUUCUGAUGUUAGCGGCGGACGGGUGAGUAACACGUGGAUAACCUACCUAUAAGACUGGGAUAACUUCGGGAAACCGGAGCUAAUACCGGAUAAUAUUUUGAACCGCAUGGUUCAAAAGUGAAAGACGGUCUUGCUGUCACUUAUAGAUGGAUCCGCGCUGCAUUAGCUAGUUGGUAAGGUAACGGCUUACCAAGGCAACGAUGCAUAGCCGACCUGAGAGGGUGAUAGGCCACACUGUAACUGAGACACGGUCCAGACUCCUACGGGAGGCAGCAGUAGGGAAUCUUCCGCAAUGGGCGAAAGCCUGACGGAGCAACGCCGCGUGAGUGAUGAAGGUCUUCGGAUCGUAAAACUCUGUUAUUAGGGAAGAACAUAUGUGUAAGUUACUGUGCACAUCUUGACGGUACCUAAUCAGAAAGCCACGGCUAACUACGUG